Vigna unguiculata (cowpea) is the source of this 117-nucleotide small nuclear RNA. RefSeq annotates it as U5 spliceosomal RNA. The record is from RefSeq and is a predicted model, not a curated record. NCBI's taxonomy places the organism in Eukaryota, Viridiplantae, Streptophyta, Magnoliopsida, Fabales, Fabaceae.
AGUCAUGUGAUAAGCACAAAGCGAAUUAUUCUUUCGCCUUUUACUAAAGAAUACCGUGUGUUUGUCACUACAAGUGGCAUACGUCUAUUUUUGGAAGAGCCUUUGAUAAAAGGCUCU